UAAACGGUCAUAAAUGAAUAACCUUCUUAAAAUAGAGGUUAGACUUUCUCAUUUCAUAAUCAGAGUUAUCAAACAUUAUCUAAAUAGUAUAAAAAAUUUUCUAUAAAAAAUUCAAGCAAUUUGGAUUACUCUACACUGUUAAGCAAGCAAAAACGGCUCAUAUAAGACGUCAAAAAUUGUCGAUUUUACGACACUUUGAUUACCAUGUAAAUAAUUUUUAAAAUUUAUAAAUUUAGUUUCUAGAUACUUCAAAUACUCUAGAUCAACUUCAACGGAGUUUUCUACCGUUAGAUCUACCCUUUGAUCAUUUCCACCCGUUAGAUUACACUAUUAAACCAACCACCCACUCAACCCUAGGGGACCACUAUCAAUUUUACUAGGGGCCACUAUCAUCCUAACCGCACAUCUUUUCAUUCAACGGUCGAAAACUCAAUAGUACCAAGGGCUUGGUACUAUUGAUAGUAUAGUAGCAUAUAUAUAUAUA
RNAcentral lists this long non-coding RNA (484 nucleotides) under Ananas comosus (pineapple). Its description in RNAcentral is "long non-coding RNA (ACOM_LNC002962)". Lineage: Eukaryota; Viridiplantae; Streptophyta; Magnoliopsida; Poales; Bromeliaceae. The record is from RNAcentral.